Molecule: ribosomal RNA, 257 nt
Filed under: uncultured bacterium
Lineage: Bacteria
Description: partial 16S ribosomal RNA
Rfam family: Bacterial small subunit ribosomal RNA
Source: RNAcentral
UGAGCCCUACGGGGGGCAGCAGUGGGGAAUAUUGGGCAAUGGGCGCAAGCCUGACCCAGCAACGCCGCGUGAAGGAAGAAGGCUUUCGGGUUGUAAACUUCUUUUCUCAGGGACGAAGCAAGUGACGGUACCUGAGGAAUAAGCCACGGCUAACUACGUGCCAGCAGCCGCGGUAAUACGUAGGUGGCAAGCGUUAUCCGGAUUUACUGGGUGUAAAGGGCGUGUAGGCGGGGACGCAAGUCAGAUGUGAAAACCAC